AGGUUGGCACUUCCUCCGUUGUAUAUCCAGCAGCCAUGUUUGCUCCUCAGGUGGCAGCCAGAGGCGUCCCCGUGGCCGAAUUCAACAUGGAAGACACUCCAGCUACCAUGCGCUUCAAGUUCCACUUCCACGGCCCCUGUGGGAGCACGUUACCCCCCGCGCUGGCACGCCAUGACACAGAGACAAAUUAAAGAUGAGUCCUGGACGUCAGCGCACAGACCAGACUCUGUAACACUGGAUGACUUUAUUCAUAAAAAUGCCAAAAAUAUUGGGUUGAAUUUAACCAAAUGCAAACAGAGUGAACGGGGUUCAUGAAAAAUAAGGUAAACAAGAUGAAAGACAAAAGGGAAACUGUUUAAGCUGUCAUACUGAUAACAUGUAUCAUUAUUAACAGUUACAAACACGCAGAAUUCUAGGCAUUUUAUUUUAAUUUGAUUCUUUUUUUGUGGCUUCUACCUUUAAUUGUUUAUUAGGAGAUGAUUGGACUGGUUUAAUUUCUGUCAGCUUUUUUUUUUGGUUUGCUUUUACAAAGAAUGUUGAACAUUGUAGCUAAUAUUACCAUGAUGCCAAAUCACACCACUGCUCUGGCUGACUGUUGCCAACACUAAACUGUAUAAAACAAUGAUUUAUUUGAUAAACUUUCCCAUAAGUCCUUUACAAAAUUAACUUUUCUGUUCAUAAAAAGCAAUGUUGAAAAAGACAGUGAUGCAAAUAAAUAGCAAUGAUGACUACAGAUGAAAUACAAACACA
Non-coding RNA from Plectropomus leopardus (leopard coralgrouper), 750 nucleotides. The record is from RefSeq and is a predicted model, not a curated record. NCBI's taxonomy places the organism in Eukaryota, Metazoa, Chordata, Actinopteri, Perciformes, Serranidae.